Danio rerio (zebrafish) is the source of this 115-nucleotide non-coding RNA. NCBI's taxonomy places the organism in Eukaryota, Metazoa, Chordata, Actinopteri, Cypriniformes, Danionidae. The record is from Rfam.
GUCGGCAGCUAGCUCUCUGCAACUCUCACAUGGUCGCCCUCUGAAGCUAAACAGGGCUGCGCCUGAUCAGUACCUGGAUGGGAGACCAUAUGGGAAAGCUAGGUUGCUUCCGUAA